UAAGGGUCGAUUAGAAUGACCAGAAUUAUUAAUGAAAACUUCGUCAUGAAGUGGUUUUUGCUGCUGUCUUUGGUGGUGGCUGUGGUGGCAGAGAAAGCUGGCGAGCUGCCCUCACCUGAGCCUUGUGAUGAGGAGGCGUGCAAGCUGCCAGAGUGCAGAUGCUCCUCCACUGAGAUACCUGGAGGAUUGGCUCCGAGGGACACUCCGCAGUUCGUCUCCGUGACGUUCGACGAUGGCGUCAACGUUCUCAACAUGUGGACCUAUCGAGACGUGAUCUUCAACCGUCGCAACUCCAACGGCUGUCCUGCCGGCACCACGUUCUACGUGAGCCACGAGUAUACCAACUACCAGCUCAUCAACGAGCUGUACAACCGCGGGUACGAGAUCGCGCUCCACUCCAUCUCACACCGUGUGCCGCAGAGCUGGUGGUCCAUCGCCAGCCUCGAAGACAUUAGGAAGGAGAUCGGCGAGCAGAAGGGACAGAUAGCUCAUUUCGCUAACAUCCCUGCAGAUCAAAUUAAAGGUGUCCGCCUUCCGUUCCUACAGAUGACUGGAAACACAAGCUUCCAAAUGAUGAAAGAGUUUGACUUGAUGUACGAUCACUCCUGGCCUACGGCGGCCUACAGAGCCCCUGGUCUCUGGCCCUACACUCUGCACUACGAAUCUACCCAGGAAUGCUUUAUACCGCCUUGUCCCACCGCUUCCAUCCCCGGACCUUGGGUGCUGCCCAUGAUCACUUGGGCUGAUCCUAGAGGUUUCCCGUGCGCUAUGGUUGAUGCUUGUUCCUACUUCCCCGACCGUGAGGACGAGAACGCGUGGUUCACCUUCAUAAUGCAGAACUUCGAGCGGCACUACUUCGGGAACCGCGCGCCCUUCGGCUUCUACGUGCACGAGGGCUACAUCAGGGCCUACCCUGCCGUACAAAGGGCAUUCGUACGAUUCCUGGACACCAUCAACAAUCUUAACGAUGUCUUCAUGGUGAAUGCUGUUGAUAUUAUUGAGUGGGUGAAGAACCCCGUGCCAGUGAACGAGUACAGAUCAAGACCCUGCAAGACUGUGCCUUCCACCAUUUGUAUGGCGAGGAACUGUGGACCUCUCGUAGCAGCUCAUAAUCAGAUAACCCACUGGAUUCCGGUUUGCAAUGUCUGCCCUGCCAACUACCCUGGGUGGGUAACCCAUUAGGCCGUUAAUAUAACAAUUAAAAGUUUUCCAA
This is an RNA transcript of Manduca sexta (tobacco hornworm), 1213 nucleotides long. It is a transcript of the gene named chitin deacetylase 8, with no coding region annotated. The record is from RefSeq and is a predicted model, not a curated record. The transcript has 6 exons. Lineage: Eukaryota; Metazoa; Arthropoda; Insecta; Lepidoptera; Sphingidae.